RNAcentral lists this ribosomal RNA (1814 nucleotides) under Dermacentor andersoni. RNAcentral describes it as "small subunit ribosomal RNA". It matches the Rfam family "Eukaryotic small subunit ribosomal RNA". Lineage: Eukaryota; Metazoa; Arthropoda; Arachnida; Ixodida; Ixodidae. The record is from RNAcentral.
UACCUGGUUGAUCCUGCCAGUAAUCAUAUGCUUGUCUCAAAGAUUAAGCCAUGCAUGUCUAAGUACAUGCCGAAAUAAGGCGAAACCGCGAAUGGCUCAUUAAAUCAGUUAUGGUUCCUUAGAUCGUUUCUUCCUACUUGGAUAACUGUGGCAAUUCUAGAGCUAAUACAUGCAGUGAGCCUGAAGCCCUUUGGGCGACGGGUGCUUUUAUUAGACCAAGAUCGAUCGGGUUUCGGCCCGUAUUGUGUGGUGACUCUGGAUAACUUUGUGCUGAUCGCAUGGCCACGAGCCGGCGACGUUUCUUUCAAGUGUCUGCCUUAUCAACUUUCGAUGGUAGGUUACUUGCUUACCAUGGUUGUUACGGGUAACGGAGAAUCAGGGUUCGAUUCCGGAGAGGGAGCCUGAGAAACGGCUACCACAUCCAAGGAAGGCAGCAGGCGCGCAAAUUACCCACUCCCGGCACGGGGAGGUAGUGACGAAAAAUAACAAUACGGGACUCUUUUGAGGCCCCGUAAUUGAAAUGAGUACACUCUAAAUCCUUUAACGAGGAUCAAUUGGAGGGCAAGUCUGGUGCCAGCAGCCGCGGUAAUUCCAGCUCCAAUAGCGUAUACUAAAGCUGCUGCGGUUAAAAAGCUCGUAGUUGGAUCUCAGUUCCAGACGAGUAGUGCAUCUACCCGAUGCGACGGCUCGGACUGAACAUCAUGCCGGUCCUUUCUUGGUGCACUUCAUUGUGUGCCUCGAGAAGGCCGGUGCUUUUACUUUGAAAAAAUUAGAGUGCUCAACGCAGGCGAGUCGCCUGAAUAAACUUGCAUGGAAUAAUAGAACAAGACCUCGUUUCUGUUCUGUUGGUUUUUGGAAUACGAGGUAAUGAUUAAGAGGGACAGACGGGGGCAUUCGUAUUGCGGCGCUAGAGGUGAAAUUCUUGGACCGUCGCAAGACGAACUACUGCGAAAGCAUUUGCCAAGAAUGUUUUCUUUGAUCAAGAACGAAAGUCAGAGGUUCGAAGGCGAUCAGAUACCGCCCUAGUUCUGACCAUAAACGAUGCCAACCAGCGAUCCGCCUGAGUUACUCAAAUGACUCGGCGGGCAGCUUCCGGGAAACCAAAGUGUUUGGGUUCCGGGGGAAGUAUGGUUGCAAAGCUGAAACUUAAAGGAAUUGACGGAAGGGCACCACCAGGAGUGGAGCCUGCGGCUUAAUUUGACUCAACACGGGAAAACUUACCCGGCCCGGACACUGGGAGGAUUGACAGAUUGAGAGCUCUUUCUUGAUUCGGUGGAUGGUGGUGCAUGGCCGUUCUUAGUUGGUGGAGCGAUUUGUCUGGUUAAUUCCGAUAACGAACGAGACUCUAGCCUAUUAAAUAGGUGCGGGGUUCCCAGCACCUUACAACCUUCUUAGAGGGACAAGCGGCUCCUAGCCGCACGAAACAGAGCAAUAACAGGUCUGUGAUGCCCUUAGAUGUCCGGGCCGCACGCGCGCUACACUGAAGGAAGCAGCGUGUCUUUAUCCCUGUCUGAAAAGACUGGGUAACCCGUGGAACUUCUUUCGUGAUUGGGAUAGGGGCUUGCAAUUGUUCCCCUUGAACGAGGAAUUCCCAGUAAGCGCGAGUCAUAAGCUCGCGUUGAUUACGUCCCUGCCCUUUGUACACACCGCCCGUCGCUACUACCGAUUGAAUGAUUUAGUGAGGUCUUCGGACCGAUGUCCGGCGCGGCCUUUCGGUUGCGCCGGUCUGUUGGAAAGAUGACCAAACUUGAUCAUUUAGAGGAAGUAAAAGUCGUAACAAGGUUUCCGUAGGUGAACCUGCGGAAGGAUCAUUA